UACGAAGGGGGCUAGCGUUGUUCGGAUUUACUGGGCGUAAAGCGCACGUAGGCGGAUCGUUAAGUCGGGGGUGAAAUCCUGGAGCUCAACUCCAGAACUGCCUUCGAUACUGGCGAUCUUGAGUCCGGAAGAGGUGAGUGGAACUCCUAGUGUAGAGGUGGAAUUCGUAGAUAUUCGGAAGAACACCAGUGGCGAAGGCGGCUCACUGGCCCGGUACUGACGCUGAUGUGCGAAAGCGUGGGGAAGCAAACAGG
RNAcentral lists this ribosomal RNA (254 nucleotides) under uncultured bacterium. RNAcentral's name for it is "partial 16S ribosomal RNA". It matches the Rfam family "Bacterial small subunit ribosomal RNA", at positions 524 to 776 of the family's 1533-position model. The record is from RNAcentral.